Molecule: long non-coding RNA, 903 nt
Organism: Tympanuchus pallidicinctus (lesser prairie-chicken)
Lineage: Eukaryota; Metazoa; Chordata; Aves; Galliformes; Phasianidae
Exons: 3
Source: RefSeq, a predicted model, not a curated record
UCGCGUCGGGCUGCAGCAGCGCUGCGGGCUCAGCGGUUCUGGGGGUGCAGCGUCGUCGUUGGGGUUCAGCUGUGCCUUGGGUGCUGCAUCACUUUGGUACGGCGCCACGUGGGGGAUCGGCAUCUCUGGGUUCAGCGUCACGGUGGGGUUCAGUUCCAGUCGCUUUGGGGUGCAGCAUCACCUUGAGUUCAGCACUGCUUUGGGGUUCAGCAUCACUUUGAGUUCAGCACUGCUUUGGGGUGCAGCAUUGCUUUGAGUUUAGCACUGCUUUGGGGUGCAGCAUCACGGUGGGGUUCAGCAUCACAUUGGGGUUCAGCAUCACAUUGGGGCUCAGUUCCUGUUAGAGGUUCAGCAUCACCUUGAGUUCAGCACUGCUUUGGGGUUCAGCAUCACCUUGAGUUUAGCACUGCUUUGGGGUGCAGCAUCACUUUGGGUGCAGCAUUGCUUUGGGGUUCAGCAUCACCUUGAGUUCAGCACUGCUUUGGGACUCAGCAUCACUUGGGGUGCAGAACCACGUGGGGGUUCAGCAUCACUUUGAGUUCAGCACUGCUUUGGGGUGCAGCAUCACUUGGGGUUCAUACCAAUCACUUUGGGGCUCAGCAUCACCUUCAGUUUAUCAGCAUCAUUUGGGGUGCAGUACCUUAUGGGGAUUCAGCAUCUCUUAGGGUUCACCAUCACCAGCAUCACCUUGGGGUUCAGCAUCACUUUGGUUGCAGAUCCAUUGUGGGGUGCAGCAUUGGUUUGGGGUGCAGCAUCACAGUGGGAUUCAUACCAAUGACUUUGAGGUUCAGCAUCACCUUCAGUUUAUCAGCAUCACUUGGGGUGCAGUACCUUAUGGGGGUUCAGCAUCUCUGAGGGUUCAGCAUCACCAGCAUCACUGUGGGGUUCAGCAUCACUUUGGGG